This 1487-nucleotide long non-coding RNA is filed under the name Mytilus galloprovincialis (Mediterranean mussel). The record is from RNAcentral. Lineage: Eukaryota; Metazoa; Mollusca; Bivalvia; Mytilida; Mytilidae.
AGAGAAAAAAAUGAUUGAUAAAAACACAGCCUGGAACACCAAGAAAAUUUAAAAAAAAAAUUAUUUAUUAGUUCCUAGUAAUGUUUUAUGACCUAAAGCCCAUACAUUAAAACCUUGGGAUUUUUUUUUGCAAUACAUAAAUACUGUUUAUCAGAAGACUAUGCUAAAAAUCCAUUAGUGAACUGUUUUUCACAGUAAUAAUAAUCUAUUUUAAAAAGCUGAUUCAUUUAGAAAUAGAUUAUAAUAUUUUAGUGAUUUGACUGAAUUUGCUGGCUCAAAUUCUAUUUAGUGUUAGUAGCUUUGUGCAGGUCACAAAAAUGUUAAAGAGCUGAAUUAUAUGCUUUUUGCAAGUCUAAAGAUAGAUGGCAAUAAUCAAAUUGUUUUCAAUUAACAAUGACUAAAUGUACUUAAUUCAAAUUAUAAUGACUUGUUAAUAUUGUCUGUUCAUAGAAAUUUUUCAAUUUCUUGUAGAUAAACCUGGCAAGACCCUGUUUGUUAUAAGAAUGUAUGUGAUAUGUAUGAUAAUCAAAGAAAUAAAAUAAAGUGUUGAAAUCAAAAGUUAAAAUGUAAUUUAUUAUACAGUAAUCACAGAAAUUUAGAUGUACAUUUAUAAAUGUUAAUCAUUGAAAUUAGAUUAAAAUACAACAUUUACAUACAUGUGUGCAACUCGUAUAGAGCUUCUGUUGCAUUUAUAAGGUUUGAAUUACACAUGUUAUGGAAUCUGAACCUGGUCAAGUGUUUCACAUCACAUGAAUUUCUCAUUUUAAAGUAAUGAGUUAUUUCCAUUUUGAAAAUGUUGUUUUUUGGGAGGUUGAUCUACUUCCAUACUUAAUUGAUAGGGGUGCAGCUGGGGUUCUGUUACCCCACUUUUUUUAAAUGAUACAUUUUUACCUACACAAUAUAUUAAGAGGUAACUGUUUCCCAUAUUGUUUGGGUUCAAUUGGGUGUGUAAUGAAUGAAUGGAAUAUCAACGUGUCAAAAGAGAAAAUUGGUUGAUAAAAACACAGCCUGGAACACCAAGAAAAAUUAUAAAAAAAUAUGUAUUUAUUAGUUCCUAGUAAUGUUUUAUGACCUAAAGGCCAUACAUUAUAUGUGCACUUGAAAAAUAAUGCCUUAAAAUUCACUCGAUAUGGAGCAAAGCAUUUUACUUGAUCAUAAUAGGGCACUUUGCAGUGAUACUUGUAGUUGGACUACAAAACGGUCACUACCUUUACUACCCAUGAGGGUCUCAAACAGUCAGUUUUGCAGUCAUUCUUCAUUGAACCUUGUUUGUUCUAAGCCGAUCAAACAAUUUAUUAACAACUGUUCAUUUCUAAAAUUUUACAAUAGAUUAUCUUGUUAGAUUAAUAUUGCUUCAAUAGACCAAUUUUCUAUUAUAAUCGAUUAUCAGAACAUCACUACUUGCAGAUAAAUCAGUUUUGUAAAUUAAUAUUUAUGAAAAUAUUAUUAUUGUUAUUAUUUAUAGUUAAAUGGAUGUUUGGAAAAAA